Molecule: long non-coding RNA, 753 nt
Organism: Drosophila pseudoobscura
Lineage: Eukaryota; Metazoa; Arthropoda; Insecta; Diptera; Drosophilidae
Exons: 2
Source: RefSeq, a predicted model, not a curated record
CCAUAGGCAUGUGUCGACAAGUCAGCGCAAACCGCAAUCCACUUGGGUUAUUCAUAAGGCUGUUCUAACGGGUUCGCUGCGACGCGGCACGCGCUAUUUUUCUAGUUCUGAAUCUAUUUCUAGCUAGCAAACCGUACCAUGACACGGACCGCUCCAAAUGGUUAAGGUCACGCGAAAUGCAAUAAUACGGUCCGAAAAACGGACAUGGGGAGAAACAGAGCAGAGAGAGUUUGUGGUGGUGGAACCCAAGGACAAAUGGGCAAUGAGCCGCCAAAUGACCAACGCGGAAGUGCGCUACUCCUAGAGCGCACUAGAGGCAUUUUCUUUCGUUUUGCAUUCAACCCACAAUCACUGAAGCGUCCACAAAAAGUCUUAGCGAGCGGAAUUUCUGGGCCAACUUAUCGUCGUUUCCGAAGCUGUCGUGUUCAUGCAUUUGCGUGUUUGAUAUCAUUAAUGUUGUUGUUGUUUUUGGUGUUGGGUGUAUUGACGAUUGUGGACUUGUGCUGUUCCGAGUAUUAUUGAUUGCAACAGGCUCGCCCACCCACACUCGUCCAGGCCGGGUGGUGGGGAGGGAAAGAAGGUCGAGUUUGGCGCUCAGGCAAGGCUCACCUGUGUUUUUGUUGCUGCAGUCCUGUGGCCGAGUAUCCUUGAAAUUCCGUUUGAGUGCCUUUUGUAUGAAGUGGCUCCUGCUAAUCUACUGCUGCGUUACAUACAAAAAUUCCGAAUAAAAACAGCAUUUACAUAAAUAAUAAA